RNAcentral lists this ribosomal RNA (872 nucleotides) under uncultured Verrucomicrobiota bacterium. RNAcentral's name for it is "bacterial SSU rRNA". It matches the Rfam family "Bacterial small subunit ribosomal RNA", at positions 511 to 1382 of the family's 1533-position model. The record is from RNAcentral. Lineage: Bacteria; Pseudomonadati; Verrucomicrobiota.
GCAGCCGCGGUAAUACAGAGGUGGCAAGCGUUGUUCGGAUUUACUGGGCGUAAAGGGUGCGUAGGCGGUUGCGUGUGUCGGAUGUGAAAUCUCACUGUUCAUCGGUGAAACUGCAUUCGAAACUACGUAACUCGAGUACUGGAGAGGAGAGCGGAAUUCUUGGUGUAGCGGUGAAAUGCGUUGAGAUCAAGAAGAACGCCGGUGGCGAAGGCGGCUCUCUGGACAGAAACUGACGCUGAGGCACGAAAGCUAGGGGAGCAAACAGGAUUAGAUACCCUGGUAGUCCUAGCCGUAAACGUUGUGCACUUGGUGUGGGAGGAGUUUACCCCUUCCGUGCCGUAGCUAACGUGUUAAGUGCACCGCCUGGGGAGUACGGCCGCAAGGCUAAAACUCAAAGAAAUUGACGGGGGCCCGCACAAGCGGUGGAGCAUGUGGCUUAAUUCGAUGCAACGCGAAGAACCUUACCUGGGCUUGACAUGGCGAGACUUCGGUCUAAACCGGUGAAAGUCGGUUGAACGCACACAGGUGCUGCAUGGCUGUCGUCAGCUCGUGCCGUGAGGUGUUGGGUUAAGUCCCGCAACGAGCGCAACCCUUGUGGGUAGUUGCCACCCCCGUUCUGCGGGGAGCACUCUACUCAGACUGCCCGUGACAAGCGGGAGGAAGGUGGGGAUGACGUCAAGUCCGUAUGGCCCUUAUGCCCAGGGCUGCACACGUGCUACAAUGGUCGGUACAGAAAGAUGCAAGACCGCGAGGUGGAGCAAAUCUCCAAAACCGGCCCCAGUUCGGAUUGCAGUCUGCAACUCGACUGCAUGAAGCCGGAAUCGCUAGUAACGGCGUAUCAGCUACGACGCCGUGAAUACGUCCCGGGCCUU